UCAGAUUGAACGCUGGCGGCAUGCCUUACACAUGCAAGUCGAACGGUAACAGGUCUUCGGACGCUGACGAGUGGCGAACGGGUGAGUAAUACAUCGGAACGUGCCCAGUCGUGGGGGAUAACUACUCGAAAGAGUAGCUAAUACCGCAUACGAUCUGAGGAUGAAAGCGGGGGACCUUCGGGCCUCGCGCGAUUGGAGCGGCCGAUGGCAGAUUAGGUAGUUGGUGGGAUAAAAGCUUACCAAGCCGACGAUCUGUAGCUGGUCUGAGAGGACGACCAGCCACACUGGGACUGAGACACGGCCCAGACUCCUACGGGAGGCAGCAGUGGGGAAUUUUGGACAAUGGGCGAAAGCCUGAUCCAGCAAUGCCGCGUGCAGGAUGAAGGCCUUCGGGUUGUAAACUGCUUUUGUACGGAACGAAAAAGCUCCUUCUAAUACAGGGGGCCCAUGACGGUACCGUAAGAAUAAGCACCGGCUAACUACGUGCCAGCAGCCGCGGUAAUACGUAGGGUGCGAGCGUUAAUCGGAAUUACUGGGCGUAAAGCGUGCGCAGGCGGUUAUGUAAGACAGAUGUGAAAUCCCCGGGCUCAACCUGGGAACUGCAUUUGUGACUGCAUGGCUAGAGUACGGUAGAGGGGGAUGGAAUUCCGCGUGUAGCAGUGAAAUGCGUAGAUAUGCGGAGGAACACCGAUGGCGAAGGCAAUCCCCUGGACCUGUACUGACG
This 724-nucleotide ribosomal RNA is filed under the name Delftia sp. CCM-073. RNAcentral's name for it is "bacterial SSU rRNA". It matches the Rfam family "Bacterial small subunit ribosomal RNA", at positions 24 to 745 of the family's 1533-position model. The record is from RNAcentral. Lineage: Bacteria; Pseudomonadati; Pseudomonadota; Betaproteobacteria; Burkholderiales; Comamonadaceae.